This 458-nucleotide ribosomal RNA is filed under the name Globigerinoides conglobatus. RNAcentral's name for it is "bacterial SSU rRNA". It matches the Rfam family "Eukaryotic small subunit ribosomal RNA", at positions 1221 to 1469 of the family's 1831-position model. Lineage: Eukaryota; Foraminifera; Rotaliida; Globigerinidae. The record is from RNAcentral.
GGGUCCGGACAUACCGAGGAUUGACAGACAGUUAACUUGCCCUACCUAUAGGAGCUAGGUUCUAAACCUAAUAGCUCUUUCAUGAUUAUAUGAUAGGUGGUGCAUGGCCGUUCUUAGUUCGUGGAGUGAUCUGUCUGCUUAAUUGCGUUUCAAAUUCUAUUGUUGAGUACCAGGUCCUAAGAGUUUCAAGCAAAUCUGUCUCUGAGUGUGAACUGUAUGUCUUCGGAUAUGCGACUAUCGCUCUAGACAACUAUGAUCUGCUUGUAGCCUCUGGUACUCUUUUGAACGCAACGGACGUGAUUGCAACCCCUUGUUGAGUUUGCUUCUCUUAGGAACUCUACGUCUGCUGAACCACCUACCUUAGCGGGUAGGUGGUGAGGUGGAUAAACUCGGGGGACUGCUGACUAUAACCAUUUCUCAAAACAGAGGAAGGUUGCGGCAAUAACAGGUCUGUGAUG